Molecule: ribosomal RNA, 770 nt
Filed under: Priestia aryabhattai
Lineage: Bacteria; Bacillati; Bacillota; Bacilli; Caryophanales; Bacillaceae
Description: bacterial SSU rRNA
Rfam family: Bacterial small subunit ribosomal RNA
Source: RNAcentral
GUCGAGCGAACUGAUUAGAAGCUUGCUUCUAUGACGUUAGCGGCGGACGGGUGAGUAACACGUGGGCAACCUGCCUGUAAGACUGGGAUAACUUCGGGAAACCGAAGCUAAUACCGGAUAGGAUCUUCUCCUUCAUGGGAGAUGAUUGAAAGAUGGUUUCGGCUAUCACUUACAGAUGGGCCCGCGGUGCAUUAGCUAGUUGGUGAGGUAACGGCUCACCAAGGCAACGAUGCAUAGCCGACCUGAGAGGGUGAUCGGCCACACUGGGACUGAGACACGGCCCAGACUCCUACGGGAGGCAGCAGUAGGGAAUCUUCCGCAAUGGACGAAAGUCUGACGGAGCAACGCCGCGUGAGUGAUGAAGGCUUUCGGGUCGUAAAACUCUGUUGUUAGGGAAGAACAAGUACAAGAGUAACUGCUUGUACCUUGACGGUACCUAACCAGAAAGCCACGGCUAACUACGUGCCAGCAGCCGCGGUAAUACGUAGGUGGCAAGCGUUAUCCGGAAUUAUUGGGCGUAAAGCGCGCGCAGGCGGUUUCUUAAGUCUGAUGUGAAAGCCCACGGCUCAACCGUGGAGGGUCAUUGGAAACUGGGGAACUUGAGUGCAGAAGAGAAAAGCGGAAUUCCACGUGUAGCGGUGAAAUGCGUAGAGAUGUGGAGGAACACCAGUGGCGAAGGCGGCUUUUUUGGUCUGUAACUGACGCUGAGGCGCGAAAGCGUGGGGGAGCAAACAGGAUUAGAUACCCUGGUAGUCCACGCCGUAAACGAU